CAGUUCACAAAUAUCCAAACUUACUCAGUAGAACCGGAACCGCGCGAAAAAAGAAACGAGGUUUCCAAAAGAAAAAACCGAGGAAGUAAACCCUUGAAGAAAUGGCGGAAAAAUUGGCACCGGAGAAACGCCAUAGCUUCAUCCACAACCCUCUCUCUCUCUGUCUCUUCAAUCUCUUGAUCAGAAGGUGUUCGAGUGGGACCAGACUUUGGACGAGGUGAACUUGUACGUAAACCUUCCGCCCGACGUUCAUCCGAAACGAUUAUAUUGUAAGAUACAGUGGAAGCACGUCGAGCAUCAAGGGCAACCGUCCGUACCCCAAUGUUCGUAACGUUCGUUGAUGUGUUGGAAUUACUGGGUUUGAUGUCUCAGCACGAGCUUACGUGUCCGGUGAAGACGGACUCUUCUUUCUGGACCCUAGGUACCUCAGAUUAAGGAGAUUGAUUUUAAAUAGGAAUGGAAUUUCUGAAGCAUCAUCGCAAAACAUGAAACUAAAUAAACUUGUGAGGCCUGGUCCUGCUUGCACUGUUUUGACAACCAGCAGGGGGCACCUCAGAGUACGAUCCCUUGCGGUUUUGACUUCUCACAAGCUCAGUUUUCUGGGGCCUGUCCUGAGAUCCAAGGACCUUCAUGGGUGGAAUACGCUCUGGUUAACAAUCUUGGUAUGAUGCAUUGAUUGCUUGGAGUAGUGUGCUUGAGAUAAAUAAAAUGGUUCCAUGUGCUUAUUUCCCACUUGCAAAUCUCUGUAACAAAUGAAUUAACAUCACUGGAAUUUCUAAUUGCUUGUGUAGUUUAAUUUA
This is an RNA transcript of Juglans regia (Persian walnut), 800 nucleotides long. It is a transcript of the gene named nudC domain-containing protein 2-like, with no coding region annotated. Lineage: Eukaryota; Viridiplantae; Streptophyta; Magnoliopsida; Fagales; Juglandaceae. The record is from RefSeq and is a predicted model, not a curated record. The transcript is spliced from 5 exons.